Molecule: long non-coding RNA, 1128 nt
Organism: Ictalurus punctatus (channel catfish)
Lineage: Eukaryota; Metazoa; Chordata; Actinopteri; Siluriformes; Ictaluridae
Source: Ensembl
CACACACACACCAAUGGUAGCAGAGCUGCCAUGCAAGGCGCUAACUUGCCACCGGGAGCAUCUUGGGGUUCGGUGUCUUGCCCAAGGACACUUCGGCAUGCUGAGUCAUGUGGGCCGGGAAUCGAACCGCCAACCCUACGAUUAGUGGACAACCCGUUCUACCACCUGAGCCACAGCCGCCCUUUUAUAGCUUUUGCCAACUGUGAACAGAUCAAAAAAAAAAUGGCAUAACUGUCUAUCCAACCAUUUUCUGUACCGCUUAACCUACACAGGUCCCCUGGGAUAGGCUUCCCGCGACCCUGUGUACGUUAAGCGGUACAGGAAAUGGAUGGAUGGAAGUUCUGUGUUGCGUGUACCUCUCAGAACCCGCUCUGAAGUGCGAUCGAACAAGCUCCGGCUUGUCGAUUAGCUUCUUCGCUGUCGGUCCCGGCUACGUGAAAUGCCCGUUUAAUCGCCGCUUCCUACGAGAGUGGGAACUUCUCAGCCACGUUCCGUGACAAAACACCAGCAAACACUGGAGGUCUGGCUUGUUCAACGUUUCCAGUUACAGUAACCAGCAUGGAGAAAAUCUGCUUCUUAUGCAGUCUGUGUAUUCAGAUUUAGUCUGAGGAAAUAGAUCGGGCUAUUCAACAAAAAUUUGGUCCAGUUACAUAAAAUUCCUACCAUGUUUUUACAUUUUUUUAUUAUUAUAUAUAUUGUGGAAAAUAAUCAAACAUAUCUGACCAUUCAUUCUGCAUCAUAUUGUUUUUUUUAAACCAACCAUGUUGUCAGUUUGUCACUUGCAGUGGGAGGGCAGUGUCCAGAGCAAUGAGCUUCCUUUUUAGCUUAUAAGUUGUAUCAUGUGCGCUUGAGUGAAGAAUCCGUUCCAUACACACUAUAUACAUGUUGUCGAAAUAUGGCCUGUUACUUUUUAAGAGAAAGUGCAGUCUCUAAAGUGCAGAAAUGUCUUUCUGGCCUCGAUGUGCAUCUGUUUGUGCGUUUUAUAGCCCACGGUUACAAGUGCUUGUGUUAAUAUGUUGUUGGGGUUUUUUUUUUUUUUUGUCUGCAUUUUGAUCAUCUUAAGGGAAAAGUUAGAGAAAAAAAAAAAUCCCCCUAAAACUGGCAUGCUCCUUUUUUCAGCUGUAUCCC